GGGAAAUAGCCCAGAACAUCAACUAAGGUCCUUAAUUUAAGCUAAGUAUAAACAAGGUAUAACAUUUGUUGUUUUGUUUGGGAAGUAGGCUUGGAAGCAGCCAUCUUUUAAAGAAAGCGUAAUAGCUCACCAAGCUAGUUUUAACAUUGUUUACUAUAAAUUAACGGGAUUUAAGCUUAAAACCGAAGUUAUGUAAUACACACAUAAUAAAAAAACGUGUAUUGGUAGCGGAACGCUCUGUAUUUGCUUAAGUUGAGCCGUUAGGUUCGAUUAUAAAUCAGAGGUGAGUAUGCUGACAUGAGUAGCGCAUAUAGUGUUUAUCGUAUUUAAAAACACUAUCGUCGGAAGUCCAAGGGUUUCUACGUAAAGUUAAACUGCGUAGAGGUAGUCGGUCUCUAAGG
This 401-nucleotide ribosomal RNA is filed under the name Corallococcus sp. AB049A. Its description in RNAcentral is "bacterial LSU rRNA". It matches the Rfam family "Bacterial large subunit ribosomal RNA", at positions 1017 to 1396 of the family's 2925-position model. The record is from RNAcentral. Lineage: Bacteria; Pseudomonadati; Myxococcota; Myxococcia; Myxococcales; Myxococcaceae.